This 464-nucleotide ribosomal RNA is filed under the name uncultured bacterium. RNAcentral's name for it is "partial 16S ribosomal RNA". It matches the Rfam family "Bacterial small subunit ribosomal RNA", at positions 32 to 507 of the family's 1533-position model. The record is from RNAcentral.
AACGCUGGCGGCGUGCUUAACACAUGCAAGUCGAACGGAAAGGCCCUGCUUUUGUGGGGUGCUCGAGUGGCGAACGGGUGAGUAACACGUGAGUAACCUGCCCUUGACUUUGGGAUAACUUCAGGAAACUGGGGCUAAUACCGGAUAGGAGCUCCUGCUGCAUGGUGGGGGUUGGAAAGUUUCGGCGGUUGGGGAUGGACUCGCGGCUUAUCAGCUUGUUGGUGGGGUAGUGGCUUACCAAGGCUUUGACGGGUAGCCGGCCUGAGAGGGUGACCGGCCACAUUGGGACUGAGAUACGGCCCAGAAUCCUACGGGAGGCAGCAGUGGGGAAUAUUGCACAAUGGGCGGAAGCCUGAUGCAGAAACGCCGCGUGCGGGAUGACGGCCUUCGGGUUGUAAACCGAUUUCGAAUGUGACGAAGCGUGAGUGACGGUAAUGGGUAAAGAAGCACCGGCUAACUACGUG